This 109-nucleotide microRNA precursor is filed under the name Eptesicus fuscus (big brown bat). RNAcentral describes it as "microRNA mir-9294 (MIR9294)". Lineage: Eukaryota; Metazoa; Chordata; Mammalia; Chiroptera; Vespertilionidae. The record is from RNAcentral.
UAGCCAAUGAGCGGUCAGAAAAGGUGUUUCCUCUGCAGCUCAUGCACAGAGGACCCCCUGGUGUGUGUCCGCUGGGGUGGGGGCAUGCUCCGAGCCGUGCCGAGGAGGC